GAGCUGCAAGACAGAAUGCAGGGUCCAGUGUGUGAGGAGGAGUUUGAAGCACUUGACAUUGACCUACCCCUGAGGACCAUGGAGCAGCUGGAUGAAACAGAGAGACAUUUGGAGGAUGCUGGAGCACAGAAGAAGAUGGUGUCACAUUUAUCACGCAUGGGAGGCGCCACGGUGGACGAUGCUGUGCGUCGGCUGAUGCAGGCCGUGCUGUCCUUCGGAGUCGGUUCCAAACUGAACUGGGUCGGGCGAGGCCAGAAAAGGGGUUUUCGUAACACCAGGCUCCAGGGAGUCCUUUUCCGUGCCCUAAAGAGAACUCCAGUCGGAAAGGAGGCGACACACCACCAGUUUGCAGACGUAGUUAAAAAAUGGCUGCGAUUUGCCCCGUUCAGGCAAGGGGGGAGUGGUCGACGGCAACAUUACAAACCUUCGGUUGAAUUCAUGUGCCCUCAGUGAACCACAUGACACUGUUGCCAGGUUGAGACCACAACAAUUUAGAUUGUAACUGUUUUCAUCCUUGUUUGUUUAACCAUCAUGUGUGAACUAAUGCAUUUAUCAACGUAAGUAUAUAACCAAAAAACAAGGAAUCACGUUGCGUGUUAUAUUUCAUCACUUUUACAAAAAUGUAUUAAAAUGUAUUAAAAUGUGAAAGACUGCUUUCUAAACACAUAUUUCAUCUUUGCUCUCACAAUGUAACCCAGUGCUGUUACUCAUUAAACUUUUCCCCCUCCAAACUCAAAUUGUAUUGUGACCAAACAAGCAGUUGUUUUUCUUAAGUCCUUUUUAUUUGGAAAAUAUUCAAGAUUAUUUGUGCUGUGACAGUGUCCCGUAUAUUCAUUUAAAAUAAAUAUCAGACUAUUGUUGUAAAGAAUGUGUUUAUGAAACAUGGUUUGGAUUGGUUAGUUUUGCUAACUUUUUUUGAACAAAUGGUAUUGUAUCUCUUCAGCACUGUCAAACAUUUGACAUGAAAGAAAUAAAUAGGUGAUAAUCACUAGACAGACCAAUGUAGGUUCAAAUUACACAUAACAGUUUUUGGGAUGGAAUGCAUAAACUUUUCUUCUGAUUGUGUUGCAGUUUGGGUCCACUGCCACUGGCAUUGUUUGCUGCUGGAGGAAUAAAAUGAGCGACUGUGUUCCCCUCUUAUAAACAGGGUGUUGACAGGAGUGAAUUCGGCCUCUGCUGAGCUGUCCAAUUUUGCUUUUUGUUCAUGUGUGAGUUGCUUAUUUGGCCAAAGGCUUCAAUGAAUGGUCCUUUUUGUAAGUUCAUGGAAGACAGAGUUUACAUUUUUUCAGUGGCUUAGAACUCUGGUCUGUUAGAAAGUGCAUUUCAAAGCAGGACCCAAAAAAACCUUUAGGAUUCAAAGAUGUUAAAUCAUAUCAGCUUGAUAACAGCAAGUAAGAAAACACAGAUUGCAGCCUUUCAUUUUAUUUCACCUAAAAAAUUUGAAAUGUUAUGUCGGUCUUUAAGAUAAAAAGUUUGUCACAAAGCUGGUACGCAUUUCUUCUAAAACUAUUAUGAGUAACCUAAAUAUGAUAUGAGUUAUAUAAGAUAUUAAAACAGAAUUAGAUAUUUAAAGUUUAAAUUAGGGCUACAAUGUUUACCGAUUUCAUGAAACGGCGGGUAUUGGAAACAUAUUAUACGUCUGAUUUGUAUUGGAAUUUGUCAGCUUCAUUUCUCAGAAAAGACACUGCAUAAUGCAUAAAUCAUUCUAGAAUUUUGACAUAGAUGCUAAACUGAAUCGGCCAGUCUCUAUACUGGAAUAACACAUGUAUUAUACAUCUGAGAAUUAAAUUUUUAACAACAUAAA
Anguilla rostrata (American eel) is the source of this 1804-nucleotide long non-coding RNA. RefSeq lists it as uncharacterized. Lineage: Eukaryota; Metazoa; Chordata; Actinopteri; Anguilliformes; Anguillidae. The transcript is spliced from 3 exons. The record is from RefSeq and is a predicted model, not a curated record.